AACAGCUCAAAUUUGAAAUCUGGCUCUUUCAGGGUCCGAGUUGUAAUUUGUAGAAGAUGCUUUGGGUGUAGCUCCGGUCUAAGUUCCUUGGAACAGGACGUCAUAGAGGGUGAGAAUCCCGUACGUGACUGGGUGCUUUCGCUCGUGUAAAGCUCUUUCGACGAGUCGAGUUGUUUGGGAAUGCAGCUCAAAAUGGGUGGUAAAUUUCAUCUAAAGCUAAAUAUUGGCCAGAGACCGAUAGCGCACAAGUAGAGUGAUCGAAAGAUGAAAAGCACUUUGGAAAGAGAGUUAAACAGUACGUGAAAUUGUUGAAAGGGAAGCGCUUGCAACCAGACUUGCAGGCGGUUGAUCAUCCGAGCUUCUGCCCGGUGCACUCGAUCGUCUUCAGGCCAGCAUCGGUUUUGGUGGGCGGAUAAAGGCCUUGGGAAUGUAGCUUCUUUCGGGGAGUGUUAUAGCCCUCGGUGCAAUGCGCCCUACCGGGACCGAGGACCGCGCUUCGGCUAGGAUGCUGGCGUAAUGGUUGUAAGCGACCCGUCUUGAAACACGGACCAAGGAGUCUAACAUCUAUGCGAGUGUUUGGGUGUCAAACCCAUACGCGUAAUGAAAGUGAACGGAGGUGAGAACCCUUAAGGGUGCAUCAUCGACCGAUCCUGAUGUCUUCGGAUGGAUUUGAGUAAGAGCAUAGCUGUUGGGACCCGAAAGAUGGUGAACUAUGCCUGAAUAGGGUGAAGCCAGAGGAAACUCUGGUGGAGGCUCGCAGCGGUUCUGACGUGCAAAUCGAUCGUCAAAUUUGGGUAUAGGGGCGAAAGACUAAUCGAACCAUCUA
This 826-nucleotide ribosomal RNA is filed under the name Tricladium procerum. RNAcentral describes it as "eukaryotic LSU rRNA". It matches the Rfam family "Eukaryotic large subunit ribosomal RNA", at positions 103 to 946 of the family's 3401-position model. Lineage: Eukaryota; Fungi; Ascomycota; Leotiomycetes; Helotiales; Tricladiaceae. The record is from RNAcentral.